UUUUUUAUACUUAUCAAGUCAAAAUAUUUUAAUUGCACCAAUCAACACCAUAACAUUAUUUAAAGACAAUAAAAAAAUAAAAAACUAUAGUUGACUCUCUCUUUAAUUGGUACGUGACUCUAAACCGCCAAGCAGCGCGUAUCCCCCAAGUCCCAAUCAACGGAACUCAGAGACCAGAGACUCUUCCCCCUCUCUCUCUCUCUCUCUCUCUCUGACCAUCAUAAUUUACCCGAACUCAGAAGACAUGCCAACAGCAACGAACUACGGCUUCCCCUAAAUUUUGAGAUUAAAGAUUUUCCAUGUAUGCUUCACGUUCUUGUAAUAAUAUUUUGUAAAUUUCUGUUGUUUCUGUCUGGGCCAAAACCCUCUGGUGAGAGCCCUUAUAGUAGUCCAAAGUAAGAAUUAAAUUUCUCCUAGAGAAGGGAAGAAAGACGGAGAGAGAAUUUAGUUUGUUAAGCUUUCAUUUUCUACUGUUUGAUCCCUUUGCUUGGUUCGUUUGUUAUUUCCUAUAUGUUUGACUCUACUUGAAGCAAUCUCUCUUUCUCUUUCUCCUUAAUGGGCAGUGGGUUUGGAUCAUUUUCUUGUAUCUAUCUUCUAAAUCAGCUUGUAAACAUAUUUUCAUUCUUGGAGGGGAAUUGAAGUUAAAGUCCUCCCUCUCUCUUUUUUUUUUUUUUUCCUCUAAAAAUAAAUUUGGUAUUAUUUGUGAAAUGGGAAGCUGGGGUUUUGGUAUGGUCACCAGGGAAUAUUUGGGUCCUUUGUGGAUUUCAAGGAAGAGGAGAUUAGGGUUUGUGUUUAGGGUCGUUUUUGGAUUAUGGCUUGGUUUUGUUCUGUUAAAGCCAGUGUCUGGACUUAGACCGAUAAGAGAGAGGGCUUCGUCAUGGGGCGAUGAGUGGCUAUUUGUUAGAAAAGAUGAGAGUGAAUUGGGUCCAUUUCAUGCAUGGAAUAUAACAGGAACUUAUCGAGGGACUUGGAAAUUUCGGGAGUCUAUGAAUAGCUCUUCCAAAUUUCCUGAUUUCAGGAAAUCGGCUGGUGAUUCAGUCAUUGAAUUAGUUAGCACAGCAACAAAAAUAAACGGUGUACAUUAUAUUCAGGGUGUAAUUAUUUUCCAUGAUGUGUUUGAUAAUGAACACAAUGUUGGUGGUGCUCAAAUAAGAGUAGAGGGUGUAUAUAUAUGGCCUUUUAGACAGCUUCGAAUGGUAGCUAACAGUGGAAAGGAGGGAGAGAUGGGUCAGGAAGAUUAUAUUUUGUCUAACCCGUAUCAUUUGCUUGGAGUUUUCUCAUCUCACGUGUUCCAAGAAUCUCCACAAGACAAAAUAUGGAGAAGAAAAAAUUCACCAAUUUAUGAGAUGGAGAAACAUUGCAAUAUGGAAAUUGCAGCCCAAAUUUCACGCAUCCCAUCCAGCCAAAAUGAUGGAGAUCAUUAUCUUUAUCACAUCGAAGGAUUGAUGGAGAGUCCUGCAGUGGACGAUGAUGGAAAUUGUUUCUCACCUUUACUGUUAAAUGCAACUUCUGUCAAUAUUGAAGUUUAUUACAACAAAGCAGUCAACUACACCUUAAUGGUCACCUUUGUCUCUUUCCUUCAAGUCCUUUUGUUAAUUCGACAAAUGGAACACAGCAACACACAAUCGGGGGCUGUGAAAGUUUCAAUUUUAAUGAUUGGGCAACAGGCUAUCAUGGAUGCUUAUCUUUGCCUCUUACAUCUCACUGCAGGAAUACUGGUUGAAUCCUUAUUUAAUGCUUUUGCAACUGCGGCAUUCUUCAAGUUUGUAGUCUUCUCCAUUUUUGAGAUGAGGUACCUUCUUGCAAUAUGGAAGGCAAGUAGGCCUAUGAAUAAUGGAGAAGGUUGGGAGACAAUGCGGCGUGAGCUAUCAGUCUUAUAUAGCCGUUUCUAUGGGAUCCUUUUAGGAGGCAUUUUGGUCAUGUACGAGUUUCAUAAUUUUUUGCAGCCUAUACUUCUCCUUCUGUACUGCUUUUGGAUACCUCAAAUAAUCACCAAUGUUAUUCGUGAUUCAAGAAAACCUUUGCAUCCUUAUUACGUCUUAGGCAUGAGUAUUACUCGGCUAGCAAUCCCAUUAUAUAUAUUUGGAUGCCCUCACAACUUCAUGCGCAUUGAGCCUGACAAGAGCUGGUGUAUCUGUUUGGGUGUAUUCAUUGGACUUCAAGCAUCUAUUCUUCUUCUUCAGCACUAUCUUGGAUCUCGAUGGUUUAUUCCUCAUCAGAUCCUACCUGAGAAAUAUAGCUACCAUAGAAGAUAUGAUCCAAAUAAAAGUCAUGCCACAGACUGUGUCAUUUGUAUGACUGCCAUUGAUCUCACCCUGCGUUCAAGUGAUUUCAUGGUAACACCAUGCGGCCAUUUCUUUCAUUCUGGUUGUUUGCAAAGGUGGAUGGACAUAAAGAUGGAAUGCCCAACUUGCCGGCGUUCAUUGCCAACAGCUUAAAGAAAAUUUUCCAUUUUAUCCAUGUAACAUUGGAUCCAUUGAUGACCCCAGCUUAUUCAUUGCGGUGGUGAAAAGAUUCCAUCCAAUACCCGCAUUUUGCCUGGGUCCAUUGUCAGAAGAUGACUGAGAUACAGCAUCUAAGCAAUUUAAAAGUCACUGACACAGUAACAGUUUGUAGGCAACAUUCUUGUAUUCAUUGUACAAUUGUAUAAAUUUGAUGCACUUAAAAUAUUUCAAAAUAAGUUCAAAUUGCCUUGGGAAAAAAAAAAAAAAGUUUCUCAUACAUCCUUGGCUCCCCAUGUUUUUUACCAACUCUUUUCGAAUAUAGAUAGCCAGUCCAUUGCUAAAUCAACCAAGUGUUGAUUUUCUUAUUGCUAAGGUAUGAGACAUAGAGGGUUUCAAUCAAAUUUUGCAACUCAAGGUUAGAAUUCCAUUGCCCCGCCAGGCGGCAAUAACGAGUCAAACCAUUUUUAUGCCUAUGAACAUUCUUCAGCAAACAAAAUGAAAUGAUGAAUUAUGGCGUGUUUCGAUUUAUAUACUAGUUUUUUGUUUUUUGUUUUAUUAUAUUUUAUUUGUUUGGUCAGUGUUUUGCGCGUGAUUAACGUAUAUGUAAGCAAUUAACACAUGCCAAUAAAUUAAACAAAUAUUUGUUUUAAUAAAAUUCAUCAAUACUAUUCUAUAUAAAAAAGAUCUCAUGAGGAUUUUGACAAUGGCACGUGUGUUUUUUUAAUUAAACGUUUUGCCUUAGAAAUAUGAUAGGUGACUUCUAUUUUUACACGAUAACAUUAUAGUUUUUUUUUUUAUUUGUCAGAUAUAC
This is a non-coding RNA of Durio zibethinus, 3255 nucleotides long. NCBI's taxonomy places the organism in Eukaryota, Viridiplantae, Streptophyta, Magnoliopsida, Malvales, Malvaceae. The record is from RefSeq and is a predicted model, not a curated record.